AACAGCUUAGAUUAAUUAAACCAUGGGCCUUCAAAGCCCAAGAUAAGAGCUAUACCCUCCUAGCUGUUG
RNAcentral lists this transfer RNA (69 nucleotides) under Brachymeles apus. RNAcentral describes it as "tRNA-Trp". It matches the Rfam family "tRNA". Rfam says of the family: Transfer RNA (tRNA) molecules are approximately 80 nucleotides in length. Lineage: Eukaryota; Metazoa; Chordata; Lepidosauria; Squamata; Scincidae. The record is from RNAcentral.